RNAcentral lists this ribosomal RNA (253 nucleotides) under uncultured bacterium. RNAcentral's name for it is "partial 16S ribosomal RNA". It matches the Rfam family "Bacterial small subunit ribosomal RNA", at positions 524 to 776 of the family's 1533-position model. The record is from RNAcentral.
UACGUAGGGGGCGAGCGUUGUCCGGAAUUACUGGGCGUAAAGAGCACGUAGGCGGCUUGUUAAGAUGGGCGUGAAAUCCCCGGGCUCACCUCGGGGGGGUCGUCCGUGACUGGCAGGCUGGGGUCUGGGAGAGGCGAGUGGAAUUCCCGGUGGAGCGGUGAAAUGCGUAGAGAUCGGGAGGAACACCAGUGGCGUAGGCGACUCGCUGGGCCAGUACCGACGCUGAGGUGCGAAAGCGUGGGGAGCGAACCGG